Callithrix jacchus (white-tufted-ear marmoset) is the source of this 113-nucleotide Y RNA. It matches the Rfam family "Y RNA". Rfam says of the family: Y RNAs are components of the Ro ribonucleoprotein particle (Ro RNP), in association with Ro60 and La proteins. The Y RNAs and Ro60 and La proteins are well conserved, but the function of the Ro RNP is not known. In humans the RNA component can be one of four small RNAs -- hY1, hY3, hY4 and hY5. NCBI's taxonomy places the organism in Eukaryota, Metazoa, Chordata, Mammalia, Primates, Cebidae. The record is from Ensembl.
GGCUGGUCCGAAGGUAGUGAGUUAUCUCAGUUGAUUGUUCACAGUCAGUUACAGAUUUAACUCCUUGUUCUACUCUUUCCCCCUUUCUCACUACUGCACUUGACUAGUCUUUA